GGAAUCGUCCUCUUCUCUCAUGUAACUAGUGAUAGGACUAGAGGGAACACUAGUCCUCAAGUUGCACUAGGGGAGCAAGUAGUAAGAACUGCUGGUGACAGGGGAUGGUUGGAAUGGAUGAUCUUGUAGGUCUUUUCCAACUUUGGUGAUUCUAUGAUUCUACGAAAAUAGUAAAAAAAGAAAUUUUCAUGCUCGACUGGCUACUUCACUGCUCCCCAAGACGACUGCCUUCCCACUCAGGUACAACCCCUACAGUACUUCAUGGGAAGAGCACAAAUGGUGUUGUUUGACACAGACAUGUUUUGUAACGAACUUUGGCCAAGGGACAGAGGAGUGCUUGCAGACUCUUUUUAGCAUUACAUUCUUCUACUUCCAUUACUAGUAGUAAAAGAAGCUAUGAAAGAGGCAAGUUGUUUAAUGUCUUUUGUCAAAAGGGCUGAAUGUGUUAUAACAUUGCAACAGCUAGUCAAGAGGUGACACGGAAAUUUAAAACUACUCUAAGCAUAGAGAUAAAAAAAAAAAAGGCAUAACAAAAGAAUAGUAAUAUCAUCAUAUCUAGCAGAAAUGCUAAGUUACAGCUUGAACCAGUGAUUGAACACCUGGUGGGAAGGCAGGGCCAACCCAGGGGAGCUCAGGUGCAUGCAAUGUUCCUGAGUAAGCAGAGGGGGUGGAGCCAGAUCCAGUCCUUCCCAGACCUCAUUUAAGAGUUGGCAGUGGAGGUAAAGGUGGCUUGCUGGAGAUUUCUACCUUCCUGUAGGCUUCUAAAGGAGGUACCAACAAUGUCUAUGGUCAGAGGGAGCGGUGGCAGUCUCUGCUUAUCUUGCAAGAUGUAACCCAGAGUGAGCAGCACCAAAGCCAUUGGCAGUACUGACUGUCAGACAGGAAGUGUGAUGUACUCAGUCACUGAAGUUACUCAAACCUGAAGAAUCCUCACAACGUUUCUGGUUAAAAGCCAUCCUUAAGGAACACCUGAUCUGCAAGAACUGAACAUUAACUGGACAGCAUACAGAAGUUACAAAGAACUGAAACACGAUAUUUUCUACCUUUUUGCCUGAGCGCAUCAAACAGAGAAAGACAGAGAAGGAAAUUCCUUUAUUUGCAUCUGACAGG
Meleagris gallopavo (turkey) is the source of this 1110-nucleotide non-coding RNA. NCBI's taxonomy places the organism in Eukaryota, Metazoa, Chordata, Aves, Galliformes, Phasianidae. The record is from RefSeq and is a predicted model, not a curated record.